RNAcentral lists this ribosomal RNA (253 nucleotides) under uncultured bacterium. Its description in RNAcentral is "partial 16S ribosomal RNA". It matches the Rfam family "Bacterial small subunit ribosomal RNA", at positions 524 to 776 of the family's 1533-position model. The record is from RNAcentral.
GACGUAGGGCGCGAGCGUUGUCCGGAUUUAUUGGGCGUAAAGAGCUCGUAGGCGGCUCAUUGCGUCAACCGUGAAAACCAGCAGCUCAACUGUUGGCUUGCGGUUGAUACGGGUGGGCUGGAGUUCGGUAGGGGAGACUGGAAUUCCUGGUGUAGCGGUGAAAUGCGCAGAUAUCAGGAGGAACACCGGUGGCGAAAGCGACUCUCUGGACGGCAACUGACGCUGAGGCACGAAAGCGUGGGGAGCAAACAGG